Molecule: ribosomal RNA, 253 nt
Filed under: uncultured bacterium
Lineage: Bacteria
Description: partial 16S ribosomal RNA
Rfam family: Bacterial small subunit ribosomal RNA
Source: RNAcentral
UACGUAGGGGGCUAGCGUUGUCCGGAAUCAUUGGGCGUAAAGCGCGUGUAGGCGGCCCGAUAAGUCCGCUGUGAAAGUCCAAGGCUCAACCCUGGGAUGCCGGUGGAUACUGUCGGGCUCGAGUCCGGAAGAGGCGAGUGGAAUUCCUGGUGUAGCGGUGAAAUGCGCAGAUAUCAGGAGGAACACCAAUGGCGAAGGCAGCUCGCUGGGACGUGUCUGACGCUGAGACGCGAAAGCGUGGGGAGCAAACAGG